GCCCGGCUAGCUCAGUCAGCAGAGCAUGAGACUCUCGAUCUCAGGGUCAAGGGUUCGAGCCCCAUGUUGGGCA
Molecule: non-coding RNA, 73 nt
Organism: Euleptes europaea (tarantolino)
Lineage: Eukaryota; Metazoa; Chordata; Lepidosauria; Squamata; Sphaerodactylidae
Source: the annotation of a RefSeq genome assembly